This 432-nucleotide ribosomal RNA is filed under the name uncultured bacterium. Its description in RNAcentral is "partial 16S ribosomal RNA". It matches the Rfam family "Bacterial small subunit ribosomal RNA", at positions 29 to 507 of the family's 1533-position model. The record is from RNAcentral.
ACGCACGCUGGCGGCAUGCCUAACCCCUGCAAGUCGAACGAGACCUUCGGGUCUAGUGGCGCACGGGUGCGUAACGCGUGGGAACCUGCCCUUAGGUUCGGAAUAACUCCCCGAAAGGGGUGCUAAUACCGGAUAAUGUCUUCGGACCAAAGAUUUAUCGCCUUUGGAUGGGCCCGCGUUGGAUUAGCUCGUUGGUAGGGUAAAAGCCUACCAAGGCGACGAUCCAUAGCUGGUCUGAGAGGAUGAUCAGCCACACUGGGAGUGAGACACGGCCCAGACUCCUACGGGAGGCAGCAGUGGGGAAUAUUGGACAAUGGGCGAAAGCCUGAUCCAGCAAUGCCGCGUGAGUGAUGAAGGCCUUAGGGUUGUAAAGCUCUUUUACCCGGGAUGAUAAUGACAGUACCGGGAGAAUAAGCUCCGGCUAACUCCGUG